RNAcentral lists this transfer RNA (66 nucleotides) under Henicus brevimucronatus. Its description in RNAcentral is "tRNA-Trp". The record is from RNAcentral. Lineage: Eukaryota; Metazoa; Arthropoda; Insecta; Orthoptera; Anostostomatidae.
AAGGUUUUAAGUUAAGUAAACUAGUAGCCUUCAAAGCUAACAUUAAAAUAAAAAUUUUAAGCCUUA